AUGGCUCAGGACGAACGCUGGCGGCGUGCUUAACACAUGCAAGUCGAACGGUGAAGCCCUUCGGGGUGGAUCAGUGGCGAACGGGUGAGUAACACGUGGGCAAUCUGCCCUGCACUCUGGGACAAGCCCUGGAAACGGGGUCUAAUACCGGAUAUGACCUGGGGAUGCAUGUUCCCGGGUGGAAAGCUCCGGCGGUGCAGGAUGAGCCCGCGGCCUAUCAGCUUGUUGGUGGGGUGAUGGCCUACCAAGGCGACGACGGGUAGCCGGCCUGAGAGGGCGACCGGCCACACUGGGACUGAGACACGGCCCAGACUCCUACGGGAGGCAGCAGUGGGGAAUAUUGCACAAUGGGCGAAAGCCUGAUGCAGCGAACCGCCGCGUGAGGGAUGACGGCCUUCGGGUUGUAAACCUCUUUCAGCAGGGAAGAAGCGCAAGUGACGGUACCUGCAGAAGAAGCACCGGCUAACUACGUGCCAGCCGCUGC
This 484-nucleotide ribosomal RNA is filed under the name uncultured bacterium. RNAcentral's name for it is "bacterial SSU rRNA". It matches the Rfam family "Bacterial small subunit ribosomal RNA", at positions 19 to 518 of the family's 1533-position model. The record is from RNAcentral.